GGGGAGGAGCCCAGAGCCUGAAUCAGCAUGUGUGUUAGUGGAAGCGUCUGGAAAGGUGCGCGAUACAGGGUGACAGCCCCGUACACAAAAGCGCAUGUGCUGUGAGCUCGAUGAGUAGGGCGGGACACGUGGUAUCCUGUCUGAAUAUGGGGGGACCAUCCUCCAAGGCUAAAUACUCCUGACUGACCGAUAGUGAACCAGUACCGUGAGGGAAAGGCGAAAAGAACCCCGGCGAGGGGAGUGAAAAAGAACCUGAAACCGUGUACGUACAAGCAGUGGGAGCACAGGUUUACCUGUGUGACUGCGUACCUUUUGUAUAAUGGGUCAGCGACUUAUAUUCUGUAGCAAGGUUAACCGAAUAGGGGAGCCGGAGGGAAACCGAGUCUUAAUUGGGCGUUAAGUUGCAGGGUAUAGACCCGAAACCCGGUGAUCUAGCCAUGGGCAGGUUGAAGGUUGGGUAACACUAACUGGAGGACCGAACCGACUAAUGUUGAAAAAUUAGCGGAUGACCUGUGGCUGGGGGUGAAAGGCCAAUCAAACCGGGAGAUAGCUGGUUCUCCCCGAAAGCUAUUUAGGUAGCGCCUCGUGAAUUCAUCUCCGGGGGUAGAGCACUGUUUCGGCUAGGGGGCCAUCCCGGCUUACCAACCCGAUGCAAACUGCGAAUACCGGAGAAUGUUAUCACGGGAGACACACGGCGGGUGCUAACGUCCGUCGUGAAGAGGGAAACAACCCAGACCGCCAGCUAAGGUCCCAAAGUCAUGGUUAAGUGGGAAACGAUGUGGGAAGGCCCAGACAGCCAGGAUGUUGGCUUAGAAGCAGCCAUCAUUUAAAGAAAGCGUAAUAGCUCACUGGUCGAGUCGGCCUGCGCGGAAGAUGUAACGGGGCUAAACCAUGCACCGAAGCUGCGGCAGCGAACGUAUCACCCAAGACAACUUUACGGAGUUGACGAUUGACGGAGCGAAGCGACGUCAAAGCGUUCAUUAAAGUCGAGUUGGCUUAGGGAUACGUUCGUUGGGUAGGGGAGCGUUCUGUAAGCCUGUGAAGGUGUGUCGUGAGGCAUGCUGGAGGUAUCAGAAGUGCGAAUGCUGACAUAAGUAACGAUAAAGCGGGUGAAAAGCCCGCUCGCCGGAAGACCAAGGGUUCCUGUCCAACGUUAAUCGGGGCAGGGUGAGUCGACCCCUAAGGCGAGGCCGAAAGGCGUAGUCGAUGGGAAACGGGUUAAUAUUCCCGUACUUGGUGUUACUGCGAAGGGGGGACGGAGAAGGCUAUGUUGGCCGGGCGACGGUUGUCCCGGUUUAAGCGUGUAGGUGUGUGUUCCAGGUAAAUCCGGUUCACUUUAACACUGAGGCGUGACGACGAGGCACUACGGUGCUGAAGCAACAAAUGCCCUGCUUCCAGGAAAAGCCUCUAAGCAUCAGGUAACACGAAAUCGUACCCCAAACCGACACAGGUGGUCAGGUAGAGAAUACCAAGGCGCUUGAGAGAACUCGGGUGAAGGAACUAGGCAAAAUGGUGCCGUAACUUCGGGAGAAGGCACGCUGACACGUAGGUGAAGUGAUUUACUCAUGGAGCUGAAGUCAGUCGAAGAUACCAGCUGGCUGCAACUGUUUAUUAAAAACACAGCACUGUGCAAACACGAAAGUGGACGUAUACGGUGUGACGCCUGCCCGGUGCCGGAA
Molecule: ribosomal RNA, 1679 nt
Filed under: Salmonella enterica subsp. enterica
Lineage: Bacteria; Pseudomonadati; Pseudomonadota; Gammaproteobacteria; Enterobacterales; Enterobacteriaceae
Description: partial 23S ribosomal RNA
Rfam family: Bacterial large subunit ribosomal RNA
Source: RNAcentral